AGUGAACGCUGGCGGUAGGCCUAACACAUGCGAGUCGAACGGCAGCACAGUAAGAGCCUGCUCUUACGGGUGGCGAGUGGCGGACGGGUGAGGAAUACGUCGGAAUCUACUUUUUCGUGGGGGAUAACGUAGGGAAACUUACGCUAAUACCGCAUACGACCUACGGGUGAAAGCAGGGGAUCUUCGGACCUUGCGCGAUUGAAUGAGCCGAUGUCGGAUUAGCUAGUUGGCGGGGUAAAGGCCCACCAAGGCGACGAUCCGUAGCUGGUCUGAGAGGAUGAUCAGCCACACUGGAACUGAGACACGGUCCAGACUCCUACGGGAGGCAGCAGUGGGGAAUAUUGGACAAUGGGCGCAAGCCUGAUCCAGCCAUACCGCGUGGGUGAAGAAGGCCUUCGGGUUGUAAAGCCCUUUUGUUGGGAAAGAAAAGCAGCAGGUUAAUACCCCGCUGUUCUGACGGUACCCAAAGAAUAAGCACCGGCUAACUUCGUG
Molecule: ribosomal RNA, 492 nt
Filed under: uncultured bacterium
Lineage: Bacteria
Description: partial 16S ribosomal RNA
Rfam family: Bacterial small subunit ribosomal RNA
Source: RNAcentral